RNAcentral lists this ribosomal RNA (467 nucleotides) under uncultured bacterium. RNAcentral's name for it is "partial 16S ribosomal RNA". It matches the Rfam family "Bacterial small subunit ribosomal RNA", at positions 28 to 507 of the family's 1533-position model. The record is from RNAcentral.
GACGAACGCUGGCGGCGUGCUUAACACAUGCAAGUCGAACGGAAAGGCCCUGCUUUUGUGGGGUGCUCGAGUGGCGAACGGGUGAGUAACACGUGAGUAACCUGCCCUUGACUUUGGGAUAACUUCAGGAAACUGGGGCUAAUACCGGAUAGGAGCUCCUGCUGCAUGGUGGGGGUUGGAAGUUUCGGGGGUUGGGGAUGGACUUGCGGCUUAUUAGGUUGUUGGUGGGGUAGUGGCUUACCAAGGCUUUGACGGGUAGCCGGCCUGAGAGGGUGACCGGCCACAUUGGGACUGAGAUACGGCCCAGACUCCUACGGGAGGCAGCAGUGGGGAAUAUUGCACAAUGGGCGGAAGCCUGAUGCAGCAACGCCGCGUGCGGGAUGACGGCCUUCGGGUUGUAAACCGCUUUCGCCUGUGACGAAGCGUGAGUGACGGUAAUGGGUAAAGAAGCACCGGCUAACUACGUG